RNAcentral lists this ribosomal RNA (496 nucleotides) under uncultured bacterium. RNAcentral describes it as "partial 16S ribosomal RNA". It matches the Rfam family "Bacterial small subunit ribosomal RNA", at positions 899 to 1397 of the family's 1533-position model. The record is from RNAcentral.
ACUCAAAUGAAUAGACGGGGGCCCGCACAAGCGGCGGAGCAUGCGGCUUAAUUCGAUGCAACGCGAAGAACCUUACCUGGGUUUGACAUGCAGGGUGAAACCGUUGAAAGACGGCGCUCUUCGGAGCCUGCACAGGUGGUGCAUGGCUGUCGUCAGCUCGUGCCGUGAGGUGUUGCCUUAAGUGGCGCAACGAGCGCAACCCCUGUCCUUAGUUGCCAGCGGAUCAUGCCGGGAACUCUAGGGAGACUGCCGGUGCCAAACCGGAGGAAGGUGGGGAUGACGUCAAGUCAGCAUGCCCCUUAUACCCAGGGCUGCACGCAUGCUACAAUGCGUGGUACAGAGGGCUGCGAUCCCGCAAGGGGGAGCGAAUCCCAAAAAGCCACGCUCAGUUCGGAUCGAGGUCUGCAACCCGACCUCGUGAAGUCGGAGUCGCUAGUAAUCGCAGAUCAGCAUUGCUGCGGUGAAUACGUUCCCGGGCCUUGUACACACCGCCCGU